ACUUCGAAGAAUGUAUUAUUUCUGCUAAGUAAUACACAUCUUUCUUGUCUUUGGACCUGAAGCUGCAUCCCUAAAAUUUGCAGGGUCUUGAUGCAAUGCCGAAGGCUGCAUCGGUACAAACAAUACUCUCACAGACUCUAGAGGAUCGUAGGCAGAGAAGAAUCUAGCAUGCGUAGGCAACUUGUCGUGAGAACCUUAUCAUGUUCAAGGUUUCUCUCGCCUUUUGCAUCAUGUGUCGCCGUUUCUACAAUCAACUGUAGUAGCACCCUCUUUAGAACAAGCGUUUUUUUUCCACGGAACCGCCGUCAGACAGAGAGAAAGUUGCUAGAGAGCAUCGUGCUUCGGAACCCAGUGGUGGUGCUGAAGCUAAACAGGCCACUAGCAUCGCUGCCUCAUCAGCACUACCAGCAUGAUCAUCGGCUUUUGUGUCAACUCAUGCCAAGUUGCUAACCCCGAAUGUUAGAAUCGGUCUCGAUCUCCUACUGAUUGAAACGUGUAUUUCAUGGGAAGAGGCCACAACUGUUGCCUCCGAAGCAUAGAAGAGACAAAGGAUUUGCGAAGCUGGGUUUUAAUGGCAUCAUCGAGUCGCCUCAGAUUUGGGUGUUUCAUGGGGAGUGCAUAAUAGUAGUCUUGUUCGCAUUCUGAACUGUGAAUACAGAUGUCAUCUCCUGAGUUUUGCACGUGUAUUGCUGCAAGACGAUAAAAAUUCCACGAGGACUAAACGAAUUGCGUUUUCCAA
Physcomitrium patens is the source of this 739-nucleotide non-coding RNA. The record is from RefSeq and is a predicted model, not a curated record. Lineage: Eukaryota; Viridiplantae; Streptophyta; Bryopsida; Funariales; Funariaceae.